GUGAUUGUUGGGGCACGAUUGGCAGGAGCUUCAGUGAUGAAGACUGCUGAACUUGCUGAUGUUUCACAAUAUGCCACGGCCGUCUCAGUCACCAGGUCUCAACACAACUGAACACAACCAUCCCUCCAAUAGACUUCCAGACAGUUGUAGAAUGUUUGCCAAGGCUCAUUGUAAGAGCUGUAAAGAGAGAUGGACUCUGAGAGAGAACAGGCAGAACCUGAUAUGUAAAUGAGCAGAGCAAACGAAAGUAACUUUCGACGACCGAAUGAUCAUUCAGACUCUGUUUCUAUUGAGAGAUAAAAGGCUGGUUGAAUGAGUUGCCUGUGAAAGCUACUUCAUCUGCAAGAAAACAGGCGGCUGCACCAGUGACUGUCAGAAGUUUUGUGAUUUCCUCAUAUGAACGUGAAAGGGUCAGUGCUCUAAAAUGAGUCUCUCUGGGGAGAGAGAGGAGGGGGGCCCUGCCUCUAAAAUGAGUCUCUCUGGGGAGAGAGAG
Non-coding RNA from Salmo salar (Atlantic salmon), 493 nucleotides. NCBI's taxonomy places the organism in Eukaryota, Metazoa, Chordata, Actinopteri, Salmoniformes, Salmonidae. The record is from RefSeq and is a predicted model, not a curated record.